Clupea harengus (Atlantic herring) is the source of this 330-nucleotide long non-coding RNA. Lineage: Eukaryota; Metazoa; Chordata; Actinopteri; Clupeiformes; Clupeidae. The record is from Ensembl.
CCUGACCAGGUUGAGCCCGUAUGAGUGGUAUAACCCACACACACACACUCACACACACACUCACACACACACUCCUCUCUCCUGACCAGGUUGAGCCCGUACGAGUGGUAUAACCCACACACACACACACUCACACACACACUCACACACACACACUCCUCUCUCCUGACCAGGUUGAGCCCGUACGAGUGGUAUAACCCACACACACACACACUCACACACACACUCACACACACACUCCUCUCUCCUCACCAGGUUGAGCCCAUACGAGUGGUAUAACCCACACACACACACACUCACACACACACUCACACACACACUCCUCUCUCC